This 250-nucleotide non-coding RNA is filed under the name Desulfococcus multivorans. Lineage: Bacteria; Pseudomonadati; Thermodesulfobacteriota; Desulfobacteria; Desulfobacterales; Desulfococcaceae. The record is from RNAcentral.
GUUCUCACGUUUGUUGCCGGUGCCCUCUUUUUCGAGGGAUAAUAGGGAACACGGUGAAAUUCCGUGACGCUGGACCAGCGCUGUAAGCGGGAACCGAGGCUGCAAAAUGUCACUGAUCCGAGAGGAUCGGGAAGGCGCGGCCGAGGGUAGGAACGUUCAGAUAACGAUUUACGAUAAGGCUGAUCGAAACCGUUGUCCGGGCGUCUGAUGAUCCGCAAGUCAGAAGACCUGCCGCAACAACCACACGGUA